RNAcentral lists this ribosomal RNA (484 nucleotides) under uncultured bacterium. Its description in RNAcentral is "partial 16S ribosomal RNA". It matches the Rfam family "Bacterial small subunit ribosomal RNA", at positions 30 to 507 of the family's 1533-position model. The record is from RNAcentral.
AUUGAACGCUGGCGGCAGGCCUAACACAUGCAAGUCGAGCGGAUGAAGGGAGCUUGCUCCUGGAUUCAGCGGCGGACGGGUGAGUAAUGCCUAGGAAUCUGCCUGGUAGUGGGGGAUAACGUCCGGAAACGGGCGCUAAUACCGCAUACGUCCUGAUGUAGAAAGUGGGGGAUCUUCGGACCUCACGCUAUCAGAUGAGCCUAGGUCGGAUUAGCUAGUUGGUGGGGUAAAGGCCUACCAAGGCGACGAUCCGUAACUGGUCUGAGAGGAUGAUCAGUCACACUGGAACUGAGACACGGUCCAGACUCCUACGGGAGGCAGCAGUGGGGAAUAUUGGACAAUGGGCGAAAGCCUGAUGCAGCCAUGCCGCGUGUGUGAAGAAGGUCUUCGGAUUGUAAAGCACUUUAAGUUGGGAGGAAGGGAAGUAAGUUAAUACCUUGCUGUUUUGACGUUACCAACAGAAUAAGCACCGGCUAACUUCGUG